AUGGCACGACGAGGGCUUAACUGUCUCCUUUUUCCAGUCAAUGAAAUUGAUCUCCCCGUGCAGAAGCGGGGAUAAAACCAUAAGACGAGAAGACCCUAUGGAGCUUCAGACACUAAGGUGCAUCAUGUUAAUAACCCUUGACAAAAGAAUAAACCAAAUGAAAAACACCCUGAUGUCUUUGGUUGGGGCGACCGCGGGGGAUCAAAUAACCCCCAUGUGGAGUAAGAGUACCUCUCCUAAAGCUAAGAGUAACAACUCUAAUAAACAGAAUUUCUGACCAAAAAGAUCCGGCAAUGCCGAUCAACGGACCGAGUUACCCUAGGGAUAACAGCGCAAUCCUCUUUUAGAGCCCAUAUCGACAAGGGGGUUUACGACCUCGAUGUUGGAUCAGGACAUCCUAAUGGUGCAGCCGCUAUUA
RNAcentral lists this ribosomal RNA (418 nucleotides) under Aulorhynchus flavidus (tube-snout). RNAcentral describes it as "partial 16S ribosomal RNA". It matches the Rfam family "Bacterial large subunit ribosomal RNA", at positions 1996 to 2567 of the family's 2925-position model. Lineage: Eukaryota; Metazoa; Chordata; Actinopteri; Perciformes; Aulorhynchidae. The record is from RNAcentral.